This 371-nucleotide ribosomal RNA is filed under the name uncultured bacterium. Its description in RNAcentral is "bacterial SSU rRNA". It matches the Rfam family "Bacterial small subunit ribosomal RNA", at positions 524 to 898 of the family's 1533-position model. The record is from RNAcentral.
UACGUAGGGGGCGAGCGUUGUCCGGAUUUACUGGGCGUAAAGGGUGAGUAGGCGGUAAUAUGUGUCAGAUGUAAAAGGCUAUGGCUUAACCAUAGUUGGCAUUUGAAACUGUAUUACUUGAGUGCAGGAGAGGUAAGUGGAAUUCCUAGUGUAGCGGUGAAAUGCGUAGAUAUUAGGAGGAACACCAGUGGCGAAGGCGACUUACUGGACUGUAACUGACGCUGAGUCACGAAAGCGUGGGUAGCAAACAGGAUUAGAUACCCUGGUAGUCCACGCUGUAAACGAUGAGUGCUAGGUGUUGGGUAGCGAUAUUCAGUGCCGAAGUAAACACAAUAAGCACUCCGCCUGGGGAGUACGGUCGCAAGACUGAA